Leptonychotes weddellii (Weddell seal) is the source of this 317-nucleotide non-coding RNA. The record is from RefSeq and is a predicted model, not a curated record. Lineage: Eukaryota; Metazoa; Chordata; Mammalia; Carnivora; Phocidae.
ACGUCCGGGAUUGAGAACUGCAGCGGAGCGUCUCCACCACAGGAUUUUCGUCUACUGAGCGUGGUCCUCUGCGGAGUCUCUUGCUCACCUUCACGCUCCACCUGUAGAGAGGACAGAGGAAAGUGUGCUUUGAGAAGGGGCUCUCUCGCUCUGUGCCAUCCCCACCAGCACAAUGAAGAGGUCUGAGCUUCUCCUUUUUAGCUCUGGGAUCGUCUUUCACUUCCAAGAACAUACAGUGGAAUUGCAGCAAAUGUGCAAUUGGAACGCGUCUUCGAGACAAUGAUGUCUUAUGCUUGCUGUUGACCAGGAAGCAGCCG